CAUUCGGCAAACAUCUAUGCAGCGUGGACUCUGCCGGGCCCCAGCUGGGUCCCUGAGCAGAGGGUCUGGAUUGGCCAUACCUCAUUUAUAUUGAGAUGAAUGAACUCCUUGUUCUUUGUACUGAGAGCCUGGAACACCCCUGAUAGGAGAGAAGGGGGAAAGGCAUCCUUUUAAAGACAAUUCCUUUACCAAGUUUGUUUCCCAGCGACCGAAGGGCCUUCCAGUGGAGCCUGUGGGGAAGCUGCUCCAUCUGGUGGUAAACAAGGACUUUCAUCAAGGGCGGCGAUGGGACUCAGGCCGGCUGAAGGGGAACUUCUCUGAACGGAUGGAGGCAUCCAGUCCUGUAGCAAGCCAGUGGUCACCUAAGCCAGUCAGCCGGCCAGCAGCUCCUGGAGCCAAAGCAACGCCCCUAUCUUAACCUUCUGGGGGGUGCCGUGGGUGCUGUCAGAGGACAGAGCAGCACAGGAGAGCAUGCCAGCACUGAGCUGGGGGCUGGGUCUACCGCAUGGUGUAGUGACGUGAGUGCACCUGAGCAAGUCACUGCCCUCUUGGGGCCUCAGCCUCCUCACCUUCAGAAGACGAGGUCAAGCCAAUCAGCCCUGGCUUCACUUGAGAAUCUCACGGGUAGCUUUAAUAAUACAACCCAAAGUGGGGUGGGGGACCAUCACUGGACACAAGAAAUGGAAGAGACCCAACAACCAAACAUGAUGACUGGGUCUUGUGUGGAUCCUGAGUCAACCAAGCAACUGUAAAAAGGUAGCCUGGAAGACUUGGGCAUGAACCGGGCACUAGAGAAUGUUGAGGGUUUGCUGAGAAUUUCGUUAGGUGUGCAAAUGGUAUGAAGAUGAUGCUAAAAACAAGUCUAUCAGCUGGAGAUACUCAGAUGAAUGGACAGAGUUUCUGAGAUCUGCUAUUAAAUUAUUUAGGGGGAAAAUGUAUGUGUUGCGGGAGCACAAGGGAAAAGUUAGCAAGAUGGUAAUUGUUGAGGUUGGGUGUAAAGGUCUGGAAACACCUGGCAAAUUUGCAUAACUCCCAAUGCUGUGUGCCACCCCUGAGAUUCUAACAGAAUUGGUCAACUGUGCAGCCUGGUCAUCAGCAUUUCUUUAGGCACCCCUGGAGAUUGUAAUGUACAGCGAAGUUUGAGAAGUGCCGAUGUGGAGUGCACGGGAACCUAUUAUGAUUCUUUAUAUCUAACUGGAGGGUUG
RNAcentral lists this long non-coding RNA (1205 nucleotides) under Pan troglodytes (chimpanzee). Its description in RNAcentral is "long non-coding RNA NONPTRT001476". Lineage: Eukaryota; Metazoa; Chordata; Mammalia; Primates; Hominidae. The record is from RNAcentral.